Molecule: transfer RNA, 77 nt
Filed under: Planctomycetota bacterium
Lineage: Bacteria; Pseudomonadati; Planctomycetota
Description: tRNA-Asp
Rfam family: tRNA
About the family: Transfer RNA (tRNA) molecules are approximately 80 nucleotides in length. Their secondary structure includes four short double-helical elements and three loops (D, anti-codon, and T loops). Further hydrogen bonds mediate the characteristic L-shaped molecular structure. tRNAs have two regions of fundamental functional importance: the anti-codon, which is responsible for specific mRNA codon recognition, and the 3' end, to which the tRNAs corresponding amino acid is attached (by aminoacyl-tRNA synthetases). tRNAs cope with the degeneracy of the genetic code in two manners: having more than one tRNA (with a specific anti-codon) for a particular amino acid; and 'wobble' base-pairing, i.e. permitting non-standard base-pairing at the 3rd anti-codon position.
Source: RNAcentral
CCGGCAGUAGCUCAAUUGGCCAGAGCGCCGGACUGUCGCUCCGGAGCGUGCGGGUUCGAGUCCCGUCUGUCGGGCCA